Molecule: ribosomal RNA, 621 nt
Filed under: uncultured beta proteobacterium
Lineage: Bacteria; Pseudomonadati; Pseudomonadota; Betaproteobacteria
Description: bacterial SSU rRNA
Rfam family: Bacterial small subunit ribosomal RNA
Source: RNAcentral
UCAGGGAAGAAACGGAGUUCUCUAAUAUAGGAUUCUAAUGACGGUACCUGAAGAAUAAGCACCGGCUAACUACGUGCCAGCAGCCGCGGUAAUACGUAGGGUGCAAGCGUUAAUCGGAAUUACUGGGCGUAAAGCGUGCGCAGGCGGUUUUGUAAGUCUGAUGUGAAAUCCCCGGGCUCAACCUGGGAACUGCAUUGGAGACUGCAAGGCUAGAGUGUGUCAGAGGGGGGUAGAAUUCCACGUGUAGCAGUGAAAUGCGUAGAGAUGUGGAGGAAUACCGAUGGCGAAGGCAGCCCCCUGGGAUAACACUGACGCUCAUGCACGAAAGCGUGGGGAGCAAACAGGAUUAGAUACCCUGGUAGUCCACGCCCUAAACGAUGUCUACUAGUUGUCGGGACUUAAUUGUCUUGGUAACGCAGCUAACGCGUGAAGUAGACCGCCUGGGGAGUACGGUCGCAAGAUUAAAACUCAAAGGAAUUGACGGGGACCCGCACAAGCGGUGGAUGAUGUGGAUUAAUUCGAUGCAACGCGAAAAACCUUACCUACCCUUGACAUGGCAGGAAUCCCGAAGAGAUUUGGGAGUGCUCGCAAGAGAACCUGCACACAGGUGCUGCAUGGCUG